Molecule: long non-coding RNA, 382 nt
Organism: Macadamia integrifolia
Lineage: Eukaryota; Viridiplantae; Streptophyta; Magnoliopsida; Proteales; Proteaceae
Exons: 2
Source: RefSeq, a predicted model, not a curated record
UCGGGUUCGGGUCUGGCUUUACCCAACCGUAGGCAAAAGGGUGUUGUAUUAAAGCAAAUGAAGGGUUCUCUUGAGUCUUGAUACUUGUACUACUCAUCUGAACUGUGUUUUCUGCGAAGACUGAAAGAGAUCAGGAGUUCUUGACGUCUGGAGCCUCGACUGCAAUAUAUAUUUGGUAUAUACAUGAAGAGAGGCUUCAUAGCUCACAGGAUGGCAUGAUGAACCCAGGUGCAGAUCAUGAUAUAUAUCACCAUAGAACAAAAAAAAUUGUAAAUUUUGCAUUUUAUUUUGGUUUUGUAGACAGUUUUGUUUGCCUUAUGAAGAGAUCAGUCUAUAAUAAAUCAAUUGUUUUUCAUUAUAAAUGAGUUCUUGCUCCAGUCAA